UGGCCGCAGAGCGGCUUUGCCGUAAUGUAUAUCUGGAGCCUUCUUUUCCCCUCAUUCCCUGGGUUCCUGCAGGACAAACGAUCCUCCACAGAAAUAAUAAUAAUAGCAACAGACAUUUAAUGAGCUGACUGUGUGCUGAGGUCACCCAUCGAGUGCUCCUGACAGCUCCUUGAGUUAUUUCCCAGAAUCUAGACCCAGUGAUUUUUCAAGAGCAUUUGGGCCUGGAACAUACGCGCUUGUGAUUUCAUUGACCCUACCAACAGCCAUUCAGGUAGGUAUUAUCAUCCCACUUUGCAGAUGAGGGAAGAGAGGCUCAGAGAGGGCAAUGACCUGCUCUGAAUCACACAGCUUAUUAGCUGUGGAACCGGGAUUUGAACCAGGUCUGACUCUUUCCGCAGCACCACACCUUGUCUGUGGGUAAAUUGUCAAAAGGAGGAGGCGGAGGAGAAAAGAGAAGGAAGGGAGGAAGAAAGGAGGAAGAGGGGAAGAAGUGGACUCUGCAUCUAGAAGGGCAAGGAGAGAAGAGCCGUCAGGCUGGGUCCUUGACUCACAUAACGCCUGCUAGUCCAGCUCCAGGCACAAGGAAUCCUCGUCUCUCCCUGCAGCUCGGCUCCUGGCUCUGGGCAGCUGGUUUUGGCUCCCACACAGGGAUGUGGAAAACACGAAUAUCCCAGGCAUCCGGCUAUGGGAGCAGAGCCCCAACCUUGGCUGUUGAAUGCACCCGGGGGAAGCUUCCAGAAGCCAGAGGGGCAGCUGCACCAACACAGAGAGCCUCAGGCCGUCUGGUCCCCUUAGUUCAGCCCCUCCCUCCUGCCAGGUCUGAACCUUCCUGUCUGAGUUGGGAGCCUCACCCCUUCCUUUCACCUGUCCCCAGGGGCGUCCGCCAUCCUCUGAGGAGUCCGCAGGGCCUGCUUAGGAGUCUGCCAAUGGGCCUGAGUUCACAGCCUCGCUCACCCCAACAGGCAGGGGCCCUCGGCCUCCGCAGUGCACCUCCUAGGGAUGCAGUUCAUCCUGAAGUUUCCAUGGAUGUGCCCCCUGGAGCUGUGCGGUGGGAAGGUGCCCUCUCUUGCCUCAUUUCCCUGCCUCGAGGAGGGGCUGUAGGACCGCUCCCCCAGGCCCUUAGGGGGCUGCAUCCUGGCGUCUCAGCUCUGAGCAGGGGUUUCUAAUGUGAGGAGGUCUAGCAAGGGGGAUGAGGGGAUGAGGCCUGGGUCCAGACCUGCCUCUGCUGUGGGAUCUUGGGCAUGUUACUUACCCUCUCUGAGCAUCAGUUUCUGGAUCUUGAGGUCAGAGGGGUGUCAGCCCCCUCGUGGAUGGUGUCGGGAUGAACCGUGUUGGGCAGCGGCUGGCACUAGGGGGUGCUCAGCAGUGGUGGUUACUGCUUUCACUAGUGUUAGAGGUCCUGCUGCACGACUCCUCCCACCAGUCCCAGCUGGGCCAGGGGCUGCCUCGGCCCCCCACAGCUCCCUGGGGCUCCUUUCAGGUCCUGUGCUGCCUCAGGGAGUCGGCCCGACUGCGUAAGCAGCAUCUACAGGUGACCGGCACAGAGUCUACCAGGUGGUAGAACCUGGGUGUUUGCACCCCUCCCCCAGUGUGGAACCUCUGGCAUUAGCACCUCCUUCCUGCUGGAAUGGAAGCGAGGGGCCAUCAGAUGGUCAGAUGGGCUCCCCAGGCCUCUGAGCCGUCCCAGCAGUGCCCUUGGCUUGUUUUGGCUCCCCGCCAAGAAUGCUGGCCCCCAGCUUGGGAGGCUGACUGACCUCCGGCCCCAGAGGGAAAUGCACACUUUUGCUCAGCUCCCAGGAGCAGCCCUGCAUUCCAGGAGGGGCGUGGGAAGGGCCAGCCCUCCCCCAGUGAGCUGAGCCGAGCCGGGACGGCCUGCAGCCUGGCCAUCUCCCCAGCCUUGUGCUGGCCCAUGCCGACCUCACGUCCCCAGGGAGAUCCACUCUGCCAUGGAGGGGUGGAGACGGGGUCUGGGAGAAGAUUCCCAUUGCCACCAGAGGACAGAAGUGUCAGCGAGUUCCCAGUGAGAUGUCCCAGCCUUCCCCAUCCACCCGCACUUUCCAGUGCUAGCCAAUUUGAUCUCCCUUUUCUGGUGCCUUCCCCACCUCCACAGAAAAAGAAUCCUCUCCAUUAUUCUGAGCAAUCCCAAGCUCCCUGCAGCCUCUGUCCCCCAGACAGGUAGACCCAAGACCGUCUGGAUCCGACUCCAGGGCCGCCCCUCCCUGCCCAGCCUCGCUGUCUUUCCAGCCCGGGGUUGUUUCAGCUGGGGUUCUUCACAGAGGGCCCGGGACCCAGGGAGGCUUCCCUGAGGAUGGCACACAAGGGCUGGGCACGCAGGGGGAACAGCAGUUGGCCGGCAGAGCGGGUGGGCUAAGCAGAAGGGAGUUGCUCAAGCAGGGGGCUACGGGGCGGCACGUCAGGGGAGCUGCCCAUCUCGCUUCUGCCACACCAGCCUUUCUUCCUCCAAGAGGUUCCCACGACCCCACCAGCUUGUAGCUCCUGGGCCGGCUUCCUCCUGCAGCACAGGCUCCAGACAGGACACACGGACGGGCAAAUGACAACGGAGUAGCCUGGGCAGGGGGUCAGGAGGCAGAAUGGCCAUGCGAUGCUGGAUGAGGACCCCAUCCUCAGGACUGCCAUUCCCUGUUCUCAACGUGAGGUGGUGAACCUGGGUGUCCUGAGGUCAGAGGAGGGACUUUCUGGGCUCCUACUUGGGAUGGAUAGGGCAGUUUCUUUCUAGAAGGUGGAGCACUAUCGCCCUCUUGUGGCUGUGGUGAGAGGCAGCAA
Long non-coding RNA from Equus asinus (donkey), 2784 nucleotides. Lineage: Eukaryota; Metazoa; Chordata; Mammalia; Perissodactyla; Equidae. The record is from Ensembl.